CCAAAGUUCCACCAGCAUCACAUCCCAACUGCUCUUUGCCCUGCAUGGAACCACCCUAAAGCACGCCCCGUGUUGCUUUCUCAGCCAUAUUUCCCUCCUGAGAGCUGCUCGGUAAGCCCGGCCGUGGGGCCAUCACAGACCCCCGCCCGGAGCAUGCCCACGUUGGGCAUCUGGGAAGGUUCCAGAAGCGCGGUGUGGCCGUGGGAGCGCCCCAUGCGCCCACCUCCUGCUGGGGGCUGCGCCAAGGAGGGGUCUGUCAGGAUCCAGCCCCAAUGCUGGGUGACCCAGGAGGUCUCCAUCAUGGCUGGCGCCUCCAGGGCUGCCCUCCCACAUGCGGCUCGGUGCGACGCACACUAGAUUACUUCGUUCUUUCAGUGACUACUGCUAGACAGACGCAUCCUGUUGUGAUAAAGGAGACCAGCUGGAUUUAGGACUGCAGCUUCGUGUUUGUGGUAUGACUGACCAUAUGUGAUUCUCUGUCAAGUUUGCAGCUUUAAUGCAUGCGAUGCUAUGGAUGACAGACGGAGCACAGAGGACCCGGGGCCCCGUCGGGUGCCGUGCAGCAGCUGGUGUUGUGAAUCAGGCCGUCGCCAGUCGGAGAACGGCUACUUCACAACACCAGGGUGGCACCGCACCACGUUUCGACCGCCAGCCGGAGAGGAGCGGAGGUUCCCGAGGAUGGGCACGGCAAGGGGGAGCACGGCCUCGCUGCCUCCGCCCCAGCCCAGACCUGCAAAGGUAAUCAGGUGCUCAACUCCUAUUUAGGCACCAGCCUCCCACGGAAGUCUGAAAUAGAAGUUAGGCCCCUAAAUAUCUCUGCGGGUCUGGCCCCGAGGCCCGGCCUCGCUGUGUGGCAUGGGGCAGUCCUGUCACGGCUCAGUCACGGCCUGCACGUGUGCUCCGUGAAUGGUGAGGAACGGGUGACUUCUGGUGGGUGGUGGAAAGCUGCAGGAUGAGCAGCCUCUGUGCUCCACGUGUAGCCCAGCGGACACCUCAUCGCGUAUCAUUCUGUAAAAGGUGCUGUAGGCACUGUGGAGGAAGCCAGGCUCCCUGGAAAUUACAUUAAAACAGCCCCAGGUGUGUUGUAAUGAACGAUAAAGUACCGAAAAUAAAGAGUGGGGUUGGCCAGAAGUGGUACCCUUGUCUGCUGUUGUUAAAAUGGAGAAAAUAUUUGAAUUUGCAUUGCUUGAGAACCCCCCAGAAAAUGGUUAUUAGACCCACACUGUCCAGAGGGGUCCUAUAACAGUUGCCCUGUGUUUCAGGUGUGAAUUUCAGGCUCUUCUGCCUCCUCCCUCAUAGCAUAAAGCCCACAUGCUCUUAGCUUUAAGGGCAGGGGCUGCAGUGCAGCACUUCCCACCCGAAGCCACGUCGUGUUCAUGGAGGUCCACAAAAGCUGAUGGCUGUGUGCACCCCGUAAGUGAAACAGAAACUCUGCUCAAGUUUGAUCUGUGAAAGCAGCCGCAUUCUCUUGGGCUCAAGAUGUGCUUUUCACUGGUGAGGUUUUCCCUUCACCCCACCCCACGUAAUACUGACUAUACACUCUUACACAUUUGCUAGCUGCUCGCUCACUUGAUGUGAAACACUGUACACGUCUAAAGCUAAGAGAGGAGAAAUAAAGAGAGCAAACAAUUAAGGUAACAGAAAGUAUUAAGGUAAUAGAAGUGAUGAAGGAUUUCUUGAAAGUUUUCUCUAUUAUCCUAAUUUGUCUGAUUGAAGCCAGCAGUAAAAAUUACUGCAGUGUCAUCCUGGAUGUGUGAUGCUGGCAGGGAGAUAGAUGUAGGAGAGAGUCAGGACACACCCAAGAUCAGCGAUAGUAUAGGGCAGCCUGGAAAUGCAAGUGUAAAGUGGCAAAGGUGGUUGCGUUAGACACGUCCUAAUUUUCCUCUUCAGGUGGGCUUUCUACAGAGGCAACCCUGCAUUCCCUUCAUAGCAAAAAGCCACAACUGACAGGGUGAAGAACGCAGGAGAUGUUUGGGAGGCACUCUCAUUCAUUAGGAGAGGGCAGUCUGGUGAUGCAGUUUAGCACUGGCGUUUUUACAUUGACGAGAGGGAAAUUAAGACCCCAUUUCUAUUUCAGGCACUAUGGCAAGAAUGGGCAUGAAUUUGUCAAUCUGGUGUGCAAGAAGUAUGUUUUAUUAAACUUGUCCUCUGCUAA
Long non-coding RNA from Cygnus olor (mute swan), 2155 nucleotides. RefSeq lists it as uncharacterized. The transcript is spliced from 4 exons. The record is from RefSeq and is a predicted model, not a curated record. NCBI's taxonomy places the organism in Eukaryota, Metazoa, Chordata, Aves, Anseriformes, Anatidae.